GAUGAACGCUGGCGGCAUGCCUAACACAUGCAAGUCGAGCGAACAGACGAGGAUCUCGCUCCUCUUACGUUAGCGGCGGGCGGGUGAGGAACACGUGGAUAACCUGUCUAUAAGACUGAGAUAACUUCGGGAAACCGGAGACAGUACCGGAUAAUAUAUAGAACCGCAUGGUUCUAUAGUGAAAGAGGGUUUUGCUGUCACUUGUUGAGGGUUCCGCGCCGGAUUAGCUAGUUGGUACGGUAACGGCUUACCAAGGCAACGAUGAGCAGCCGACCUGAGAGGGUGAUCGGCCACACUGGAACUGAGACACGGUCCAGACUCCUACGGGAGGCAGCAGUAGGGAAUCUUCCGCAAUGGGCGAAAGCCUGACGGAGCAACGCCGCGUGAGUGAUGAAGGUCUUCGGAUUGUAAAACUCUGUUAGUUGGGAAGAAGAGAUGUGUAAGUAACUAUGCACGUCUUGACGGUACCUAAAGAGAAAGCCCCGGCUAACUACGUG
RNAcentral lists this ribosomal RNA (497 nucleotides) under uncultured bacterium. Its description in RNAcentral is "partial 16S ribosomal RNA". It matches the Rfam family "Bacterial small subunit ribosomal RNA", at positions 28 to 507 of the family's 1533-position model. The record is from RNAcentral.